GGGCAGGGAUGCAGUGUGGACUUCCAACAACUCCCAGAGCUACCCAAGAUCUUGGAGAUCUUCAGGGAUACCUGACCCUUCCCAGUACCCCUAUGCCCUGACCAGGACUCCGGGAAUCAGCCCCCUCACCCUCCUCCAGUUCUUACUGGAACCCUCUAGCCCUGAGCCUCCAAUCCUGACCAUGUGGUGGUCCCAGUGCCCUUGUUGUGGUCCCAGGAGCAGGGCAGAGCGAAGCACUGCGGAAGAUCGUGAUGGAUGCCUUGCAUUUACUGGAGAAGCAGAAGGACAAGAAGCCUUUCGAGGUGUCCCUGCAAGAAGCCAUCCAAAUGAUUUGGGUGAAGCUGAGCCAGUUGGAGCAAGGGCACCAGCCGGCGGCCCGCAUCUUCCAGUGCUCAACCUGCCGCCUCGUGGACUGCCAGUUCCCUGUAGACUGCCCAGUUCAGGAUGUGUGGGUCCACGAGGAUGAA
RNAcentral lists this long non-coding RNA (467 nucleotides) under Phasianus colchicus (ring-necked pheasant). RNAcentral's name for it is "lncRNA (ENSPCLG00000021377.1)". The record is from RNAcentral. Lineage: Eukaryota; Metazoa; Chordata; Aves; Galliformes; Phasianidae.